This is a long non-coding RNA of Canis lupus familiaris (dog), 1315 nucleotides long. RefSeq lists it as uncharacterized. Lineage: Eukaryota; Metazoa; Chordata; Mammalia; Carnivora; Canidae. The transcript has 3 exons. The record is from RefSeq and is a predicted model, not a curated record.
UCCGAUUGACUUACUUCACUCAGCAGAAUACCCUCCAGUUCCCUCCACGUCGAAGAAAAUGCAAACAGCUACAGGGAUAGAACACCCGUCCUCACCCAGGCAGACCACUUUGAACAACACACUCCCGUGGAGCAUCACUGGAACAUGGAAACCUCCAUCAUCCUUCAAAAUCCUGCAUCCUUAGAUUUCCUUGAUCCUCCUCCCCAGCCCUUCCUUCUCUACCCCCCAGAGUCUCUCUGUCCCAGGAGACGCUGAAUUCCUUGAAGACAGUGGCUAUGAUAUAUAUAUGCAUUCCUGAAAGCUUAGCACAAUGCCUCGGAUAUCCCAGGGGCUCAGAAAAGAGGUAAUAAGCGAACAAAAGAGUGCAGCUUGAGCUCUCCGAGCACUGAUUUAGGCAUGAUGGGUUUCCAAGUCACCGCCCAAUUAAAAGGCUCCAAUUUAUGCUUAGAAUGUUGCAGGUCAAGUCUUAAUGUGCUGGCUGGAGCUCCUCUCCUUGCCGGGACACGACAGGAAGGUGUUUGGGUGGUAUUGAAAUGACUCAUUGCCCCGGUGGCUUAACAGGAUUACCAAGGGGCUCACAUCGCUCAAUGAAGCAUGGUGGGAGCCCCAGCAGUGCCAGCCUGGUCAGAAGCCGAAGCUGUUAUCUCUGUCGCUGCUUCUCUGCUGCCUGGGGACAGAGGAAAUUAAAAGUCACCGCAGUCCGCUAGCUGAGAAGAGAAAGGUUCCAAAGAAACUCAGGGAGUGCCUCCUCACCCUCACUGAAUUUCAUCCCACUCUGUCCUCAAGAUCGCAGAAGGCCUUGCUGGAAGGGACUUUGGAUAAAAUCUGGGUCAAUCUCCUCUUGCAGAUUGGGGAGCUAACAUCCAGAGAGAGGCAUCGACUCCUCAAGGCCACACAGCUAAUAAGUGACAGGAUUGAGAGCUGAGUCUGCACAUUUUUGUUCCCCAUCCGGUGAAGAAACAUCAUGACCUGGAACCAGGCGAGGAAGUAUAUCUCGCAGGAAGGGUAAAUUCAUACCUGGUUGUGUUUGUUGAUUUGGUUUUCCGUUUUGUUUUACUUUAUUUUUUAAUGGAAGUGGAAGUCACAUGACAUAAAAAGGACCAUUUUAAAGUCUACCCUUUAGUGGCAUUUAGUAGAUUCACAACGCGGAAUCACCUCUAUCCAGUUCUGAGAUAGAUCACCCUUCCCCCAAAGAAAACCCCUUACCUAUUGAUCAGCUGUUCCCCAUUUCUUUGUCCUCCCAGACUGGCAACUUCCAGUCUGCACUCUGACUCCACAGAUUUGCCUUUUCUGGACAUUUCAUAUAAAUGGAAUC